Molecule: unclassified non-coding RNA, 520 nt
Filed under: uncultured Glomus
Lineage: Eukaryota; Fungi; Glomeromycota; Glomeromycetes; Glomerales; Glomeraceae
Description: SSU rRNA
Rfam family: Eukaryotic small subunit ribosomal RNA
Source: RNAcentral
AGCAGCCGCGGUAAUUCCAGCUCCAAUAGCGUAUAUUAAAGUUGUUGCAGUUAAAAAGCUCGUAGUUGAAUUUCGGGAUCAAUGCGUCGGUCGUGCCUUCGGUACGUACUAGCGUCAUUGAUUCCUCCCUUCUGAAGAACCGUGAUGUCAUUAAUUUGGUGUUACGGGGAAUCAGGACUGUUACCUUGAAAAAUUAGAGUGUUUAAAGCAGGCUAACGCUUGAAUACAUUAGCAUGGAAUAAUGAAAUAGGACGUUCGAACCUAUUUUGUUGGUUUCUAGGAUCGACGUAAUGAUUAAUAGGGAUAGUUGGGGGCAUUAGUAUUCAAUUGUCAGAGGUGAAAUUCUUGGAUUUAUUGAAGACUAACUACUGCGAAAGCAUUUGCCAAGGAUGUUUUCAUUAAUCAAGAACGAAAGUUAGGGGAUCGAAGCGAUCAGAUACCGUCGUAGUCUUAACCAUAAACUAUGCCGACUAGGGAUCGGAUGAUGUUAAUUUUUUAAUGUACUCAUUCGGCGCCUUAC